Macaca mulatta (Rhesus monkey) is the source of this 1752-nucleotide non-coding RNA. The record is from RefSeq and is a predicted model, not a curated record. NCBI's taxonomy places the organism in Eukaryota, Metazoa, Chordata, Mammalia, Primates, Cercopithecidae.
GCCUCCCAAAGUGCUGGGAUUACAGGCUUGAGCCACCGUGCCCGGCCAGUCUUUUGCAUUUUUAUAUAAAUUACAGAAUUACUUUGUCAGCUUCCAAGAAAAAAUUGCCAGAUUUUGAUUGGUAUUAUACUAAAUAUGUAGAUCAAUUGGAGGAGAAUGAACAUCAUUAACAAUGUUGACUCUUUCGGUUCAUGUCAUGAUAUUUCCCUCCACUUAUUUCAGUCCUGUUAAUAUUUAGUACUGCUCCACCUGUCUGCCCUCCAGGCUGGUGCUGGCCUCUGGAAUGGACGAACUUUGGGUACACUUGGAGAAAGAACUCCAGAUGUCACCUCCUACCCUCCAUGGUUCUCUCCUUGACUGUGGCAAGGAGAGGUGGUGAAGGGAAGAGACCAAAUAGGAAUCAGAGGAAGGGAGGCUGCAGUAACCCACUGCACCUUGGUACAGGGUCCUGUGCUGGAGAUGAUUAAGUAUGUAAGAAAAAAUCACAAGGCUGGUUACAGUCAUACUGGGUAGCAGACAAUGGAUGUAAAGGAGAAAGAAGCCUGGACACUUUGGCAAGAGGAGAGCUUAGUAUGUGUGGAUUGGACAGGACUGGUCCUAAAACUCCCUUCAUCACAAAAAAGCUGCAUGCCCCUGGAGAAGAUUCCCGUCAUUGGGCCUCUUUCCUCACCGUGAAAUGAGAGGACUUGGACCUGAUGCUCUGGAUGCUUCCUUCAGCUCUGCCACUAGAACACUGGUACUGAUGGAGGAUGAUGGCAAGAAGCUAGAUUGAGUAACAGGUCCCUGUUUCAGGCUAACUUCAUCCUGCUGGAUGGAAUUCCAGCCAAUGUGAUCCAAAGAGGGAAGCAGUACCAGGCUGCAGCCCUCGUCAUGGUGAAGAUGGAGCCUUCUGGGAAGCUGCUACCCAUGGUCAUCCAGACAUAAACAUCACCACAGUGCCUGAAAUAAGAGACCUGGUUAUCACCUCCCACUGACAGAUAAGGAGAUCAACAUUCAGAGAGUUUAUUACAUUGCCAAUAUCAAAGCUAGAGGUGAGCAUGGACUCAAAUCCAGGUCAGUCUGACUCCAGGGCACGACGCACAGGGAAGUCGGAGAGCGUGAGCGAGCGGGGAGCGUGAGUGUCAGGGCAGCAGGAGACCAGCCUGUCAAGGCAACAGCAGUGAGGAAAGCAUCGAGAGGGAGAAGACUCCGUGCUAUGUGACGGCCCCUACCAGGAAAGAGCCAAGCAUCUGGUCUCCACCAACCACCCCUCCAAUCUCCUCCUUGCCAGCUCCUGAUCCCCCAUAUCUACUACAAUCAUGGAAACCAACACCUGGACCUGACCCCAACGUAUCUCAGAAGGUGGAGUAUUUGCUAAGAUAAGAAGGGAAUGGGCACGAGGCCACCUAAUCAUCCAACAAUCUCUGUCCUGCCAGCUUCAAGAUCUCCCAGACCAACCUGUGUGAACGUCCUGACCUUAAGCCCCUGAGCCCUAUCCCUUUUAUAGCCAUGACUUUAAAUAUGAAAACCCCAUCUGUGAACCCCCUUUAUAUAUGUCCUCAUUCUCCAGCUGUGCCUCCGUCCCUCAAGACCUGUCAUCUCUUGUGUCCCAGGCAGUAGCACAGGUGGAGGGGGCCCAUGUGCAGUUGUUCCAUCAGGCACGGCCUCAGCUGACCUGCUGCUCCCUCUGUCGUCCUGAUGACCUGGCUGCCCAUGGCCUGCUGGACUCCCAUGUGCUCUCCAUGACCAUGAUGCUAGGCCCUGGAGAUUAUU